RNAcentral lists this ribosomal RNA (492 nucleotides) under uncultured bacterium. Its description in RNAcentral is "partial 16S ribosomal RNA". It matches the Rfam family "Bacterial small subunit ribosomal RNA", at positions 29 to 507 of the family's 1533-position model. The record is from RNAcentral.
AGUGAACGCUGGCGGUAGGCCUAACACAUGCAAGUCGAACGGCAGCACAGUAAGAGCUUGCUCUUACGGGUGGCGAGUGGCGGACGGGUGAGGAAUACAUCGGAAUCUACUUUUUCGUGGGGGAUAACGUAGGGAAACUUACUCUAAUACCGCAUACGACCUACGGGUGAAAGCAGGGGAUCUUCUGACCUUGCGCGAUUGAAUUAGCCGAUGUCGGAUUAGCUAGUUGGCGGGGUAAAGGCCCACCAAGGCGACGAUCCGUAGCUGGUCUGAGAGGAUGAUCAGCCACACUGGAAGUGAGACACGGUCCAGACUACUACGGGAGGCAGCAGUGGGGAAUAUUGGACAAUGGGCGCAAGCCUGAUCCAGCCAUACCGCGUGGGUGACGAAGGCCUUCGGGUUGUAAAGCCCUUUUGUUGGGAAAGAAAAGCAGCAGGUUAAUACCCCGCUGUUCUGACGGUAACCAAAGAAUAAGCACCGGCUAACUUCGUG